Molecule: ribosomal RNA, 590 nt
Filed under: uncultured eukaryote
Lineage: Eukaryota
Description: SSU rRNA
Rfam family: Eukaryotic small subunit ribosomal RNA
Source: RNAcentral
CUGGUUGAUCCUGCCAGUAGUCAUAUGCUUGUCUUAAGGAUUAAGCCAUGCAUGUCUCAGUACAAGCAUCCUUGUACCGUGAAACUGCGAAUGGCUCAUUACAACAGUUAUAGUUUAUUUGAUCGUGCGGAGCUACGUGGAUAACCGUAGGAAUUCUAGAGCUAAUACAUGCACCGUCGCCGAGGAUCUUUGGUUAGACUUCGGCGGGAUUUAUUAGAUCAAAAACCAAUCGUCUCUCCCGUUAUUUCGGGAGAGGCGUGGUGGGAUGAAUCAUAAUAACUUUACCGAAUCGUAUGGCUUAAAUUAGGCCGACGAUAAAUCAUUCAAAUUUCUGCCCUAUCAACUUUCGAUGGUAGGGUAGUGGCCUACCAUGGUGUUGACGGGUGACGGAGAAUUAGGGUUCGAUUCCGGAGAGGGAGCCUGAGAAACGGCUACCACAUCCAAGGAAGGCAGCAGGCGCGCAAAUUACCCAAUCCUGAUUCAGGGAGGUAGCGACAAGAAAUAACGAUAGUGGGCUCGUUCGAGUCCGCGCAUCGGAAUGAGGAUAAUUUACACCCCUUCUCGAGGAUCCAUUGGAGGGCAAGUCUGGU